GUUAUUAUGUCCCCACAGUUAUGGGCUGUCAUUGGCUGGGUACACUGGAGACUCAUCUGGAGUGCUUUGUGGGUAUCAGCAUUUUUUAUACUUGCUGCAUUGCUUCCAAGCUUGGAUUUUCUUCUGUGAUGGAAAAAGCAUUAAGCAUGAUUAUGUGAAGAAGAACUGCAUGCUGGAGUGGAGUGGAGUGCUUCAUUUACCAGAUGAUUUCACUGUGGCUUUCUGUUCCAAUACAGCAUCCCUCUCAGGUCAGAUGCUCAUCCUAUACUCAAAAUCUGUGCCGAAUGCAGGCUGGAAAGAACUCAAGGAUAUGCAGCUGCCUUUUCUAUGCACAGGGCUGGACCAGAAAGCUCCACUGUAAUGAAAUGUGAUGGCUUCAGAGGGACUGCUCAGUUGUGAAGCCUAAAGAGGAAUAUACAUACUUAAGAUUCCUUUUGCUUUGUUUUCUCUUAUAUUAUUUUAUCUUUCUAAUAGGAUUAUGUCUGUACUAUUUGGAAUAUCUGGUGGGCCUAGAGUUCUUGUUCAGGGUCAGGCUAGAUGCUGUAUGGUGUGACUGUUAACUCAGUAUUAGAAAAACAAAGUAUUAUUAAUUUUUGCAUCUCAUGUGGUGAAAAAAUCCUGGUGUCCUAACAAAGGAAAUGUUAAAAUCUGCAGUAUAAAAACACAUAAAAUAAAUCUAACUGGCUUUAACUGGCCCA
Molecule: long non-coding RNA, 698 nt
Filed under: Cyanistes caeruleus (blue tit)
Lineage: Eukaryota; Metazoa; Chordata; Aves; Passeriformes; Paridae
Description: lncRNA (ENSCCEG00000019216.1)
Source: RNAcentral